This 253-nucleotide ribosomal RNA is filed under the name uncultured bacterium. RNAcentral describes it as "partial 16S ribosomal RNA". It matches the Rfam family "Bacterial small subunit ribosomal RNA", at positions 524 to 776 of the family's 1533-position model. The record is from RNAcentral.
UACGGGGGGGGCAAGCGUUGUUCGGAAUUACUGGGCGUAAAGGGCUCGUAGGUGGCCAACUAAGUCAGACGUGAAAUCCCUCAGCUUAACUGGGGAACUGCGUCUGAUACUGGAUGGCUUGAGUUUGGGAGAGGGAUGCGGAAUUCCAGGUGUAGCGGUGAAAUGCGUAGAUAUCUGGAGGAACACCGGUGGCGAAGGCGGCAUCCUGGACCAACAUUGACGCUGAGGAGCGAAAGCCAGGGGAGCAAACGGG